AGCCUGAUGCAGCGACGCCGCGUGAGGGAUGACGGCCUUCGGGUUGUAAACCUCUUUCACCAGGGACGAAGCGCAAGUGACGGUACCUGGAGAAGAAGCACCGGCCAACUACGUGCCAGCAGCCGCGGUAAUACGUAGGGUGCGAGCGUUGUCCGGAAUUACUGGGCGUAAAGAGCUCGUAGGCGGUUUGUCGCGUCGUCUGUGAAAUUCUGCAGCUUAACUGCAGGCGUGCAGGCGAUACGGGCAGACUUGAGUACUACAGGGGAGACUGGAAUUCCUGGUGUAGCGGUGAAAUGCGCAGAUAUCAGGAGGAACACCGGUGGCGAAGGCGGGUCUCUGGGUAGUAACUGACGCUGAGGAGCGAAAGCGUGGGUAGCGAACAGGAUUAGAUACCCUGGUAGUCCACGCCGUAAACGGUGGGUAGUAGGGGUGGGGCUCAUUUCACGAGUUCCGUGCCGUAGCUAACGCAUUAAGUACCCCGCCUGGG
RNAcentral lists this ribosomal RNA (487 nucleotides) under Gordonia sp. EBKC43. RNAcentral describes it as "bacterial SSU rRNA". It matches the Rfam family "Bacterial small subunit ribosomal RNA", at positions 380 to 877 of the family's 1533-position model. Lineage: Bacteria; Bacillati; Actinomycetota; Actinomycetes; Mycobacteriales; Gordoniaceae. The record is from RNAcentral.